This 986-nucleotide ribosomal RNA is filed under the name marine metagenome. RNAcentral's name for it is "bacterial SSU rRNA". It matches the Rfam family "Bacterial small subunit ribosomal RNA", at positions 311 to 1332 of the family's 1533-position model. The record is from RNAcentral.
GAGGGGGACUGAGACACGGCCCCCACUCCUACGGGAGGCAGCAGCAGGGAAUCUUGCACAAUGGGCGAAAGCCUGAUGCAGCGACGCCGCGUGAGGGAUGAAGGUUCUAGGAUCGUAAACCUCUUUUCUUAGGGAAUAGUUUGGAAGGUACCUAAGGAAUAAGUCACGGCUAACUACGUGCCAGCAGCCGCGGUAAUACGUAGGUGGCAAAUGUUGUCCGGAAUCAUUGGGCGUAAAGGGUCCGUAGGUGGCAUGAAUAGUCUUAUGUGAAAUCUCUUGGCUCAACCAAGAAACGCCAUAAGAAACUUUCAUGCUAGAGAUCAUCAGAGGGAGGUAGAAUUCCAGGUGUAGUGGUGAAAUGCGUAGAUAUCUGGAGGAAUACCAAUGGCGAAAGCAGCCUCCUGGGGUGAAUCUGACAUUGAGGGACGAAAGCGUGGGUAGCAAACCGGAUUAGAUACCCGGGUAGUCCAUGCCGUAAACGAUGAAUACUGGGUCUUCGGGGAAUCGACCCCCUGUGGACCGAAGCUAACGCGUUAAGUAUUCCGCCUGGGGAGUACGGUCGCAAGACUAAAACUCAAAGGAAUUGACGGGGGCCCGCACAAGCAGCGGAGCGUGUGGUUUAAUUCGAUGGUAAACGAAGAACCUUACCUAGGUUUGACAUAUAAGUAGUACUGACCCGAAAGGUGAUGGACCCGCAAGGGAGCUUAUACAGGUGCUGCAUGGUUGUCGUCAGCUCGUGCCGUGAGGUGUUGGGUUAAGUCCCGCAACGAGCGCAACCCUCGUGGAUAGUUGUUUUCUUUAUCCAGACUGCUUUUACAAGAGGAAGGUGGGGAUGACGUCAAAUCAUCAUGGCUCUUACACCUAGGGCUACACACACGCUACAAUGGACAGUACAGACGGUUGCUAAGUCGCAAGAUGGAGCCAAUCCGAUAAAGCUGUCCCCAAUUGGGAUUGUAGGCUGAAACUCGCCUGCAUGAACCUGGAGU